GUCUAUGGCCAUACCACCCUGAACGUAUCUGAUCUCGUCUGAUCUCAGAAGCUAAGCAGGGUCAGGCCUGGUUAGUACUUAGAUGGGAGACUGCCUGGGAAUACUGGGUGCUGUAGGCU
This 119-nucleotide ribosomal RNA is filed under the name Mus caroli (Ryukyu mouse). Lineage: Eukaryota; Metazoa; Chordata; Mammalia; Rodentia; Muridae. The record is from RNAcentral.